AAAAGAACGACAGAGGCAACUAGAGUGGGAAAAAAGUUUGCUUUUUGUUCGCUUUUAUUUCCUCUUCAUUGCUGUCUCCAUCGUGGGGAGAGUACAACACACAGGCAGUCGCAGGCCUCCUGCGCAUAUACACACUGUGCUCACUGCGCUGCACGAUCGCAGGCGCGGAGUCGGCGGGGAAGGCGUGCUGGAAGAGAGGAAAAAUCAUAACAACAGGAUAAACGAACAAUAAACAUUGACCCGGACACACAUCCACCGUAAGCUCUGUGCGUCUGUUUGUCUGUAUACACGCGCGUGUGUGCGUGUCACUCUCUCUGUCGAUUACCGUGUGUGUGCAUCAGCGCUCUCACCCUUCUUCCUUUCUGUUUUUCCCUUUUUUCCAUUCACGUUGUGCUCGCUAAUUGGACCGUGCAAGGCGCGCGCGCACACACACACACACACGCAGCAAGUUUUUGUCUUGAAACAUUUUACUUCCUCGACUCUGUCGUUCUCUCGUUCUUCACAAUCGCCUCCCUCCUCUUUCGUGUUUCUAUGUGUGUAGAGACGAAGGUAGAGCCAAACAAAGCCAAACCUAAACUCACCGUCUUGUGCAAAAGAAGGCAAAGACACACGCGCACAAACACAAGGCGCCGCAAUACAGAUAUCUACCAAACCUUGUAAACGCGCUGCGAAAGAAAUCAGCUACAGGCAUCAAUUUCGAAUCAAAAGGCGAAUACCAACCCACACCUCACUCACACGCGCAAGCGUGCUCACGCGCACGCACGGAUUACUCUGUUUCUUGGCCUACGGAGGGGCUACGGCGCCGACUUUCUUUUGUGUGUUUUUAAACCGCCUACAUAUUGCUCAUUUUCUUGUGUUUUCUCGUCUGUGCGCGCACCCUGUUUUAUCGCACUUAUCGCUUCAGGCAAAACUUCGCACCUUCCUUUUUUCUUUUUUUUCUGAAGCGCCUCCGUGAUCACAGCAUCUCAAGGAAUUAUUUCCAUCUCUCUACUACCACCGUUUCCACGAAUACGUUUAGGUACUGCUGCUACUCUCUCUCUGCCUUACUUCGUCAUCGGAACACAUCCCAGGCAGGCGGAGGCACGUGCGUAUACACACCCGAGCCCCUACCCUUGCACACGCGGAGAAGCAGCACUGUUUCGUUUCCGCUUCUUUCACGGAAUUCGUGUGUUUUGCCCUUCGCGCUGCCGUUGUAACGUUCGAUUGUUAACGCAAAAAAAAAUAUUGAUCUUGAGCUUUUUUUUAUGUGGUGGCGCAAACGCGUGUGUGUUGUGCCACUGCGCCGAUUUGUCUCUCUUCUCUCUGUGGUUGUGGCACCCUGUAUGCGCGCUUAGCUCGCUUGGGCUCGACUGUGCGUGCGCCGUUUUUUUUUUUGUUUUCUCCUUUGGUCCGUUGGAUUGUUGUGCGCGCUCUCUCGAUCGCUUGCUUCUGGCGCCGCCGCAUUUUUUUUCCGCUUGUCUGUUUCUGUUCUCGUGCCAGAGGCUUUAGGCGUGGGCUGUCUUCUGUCGGUCCUUGUUUCUGCUGGCCCGCACCAUCUUUGUUCCCUCUUUUUUUAUUGUUCGUAGCUUGGAACACCUCUGCCUUCGUCUUUGGUCUUUGUUUUGCCCACGUUGCUGGCACGCCCUGCGGAGGCCUAUCGGCCAUCCUGACAGGACACCAUAUAACGCUCGUGCAGUGGUGCCUGAUUGCUCCUACCUCUCCUCCAUCGCGACCCCCCCCCCCCCCCCCCACACACACACACACACACACACGCACAGGUGCGCAAGUCGAGCAGCAGGCAAUCGAAAAGGAACAUCUGUGCGUGCUACGUGCAACAACUGGGACAGUCGUUCGCCCGCUUAUUCCCCCCUCUCAAGUUGUCUCGUUUUGCUUUAAUUCUUUCUUGUCGCUUGCCUUUGCUUUCAGCUGGUGCCCGCACACUCGAAGGCUCACGCAGAGAGGCGACUGAAUCUCUUGUUCCCGUGAACGCGCUCUCUGAGACCGAGCGGGUUGGCGCGUGCAUGUGUGCAGUGACGAGGAAAGACAAGAAUACCAUAUGAAGACGAGCUUUAUCAGCGACUGUAAAAACGGCGGCACUUGAACCCUCAGUACGCAGCGCAGAGUCCGCGGAGCAGCGGUUGCGCGAACAGUGACAAGGAGGAGAACAGCUCAAGAAUCGGACACACAACCACCGCUGCAGUCACACUGUGCCCACUCCCUUCGCUAACAAGCUCUGGUGGUUCUCUGUUGCAGCUGAUUUCUGUGUGCGUGCGUAUCGUUACUCUUUUUCGGGGUCGUCUCACUGAGGGGUGGGCUUAGCGCCAACGACACACACGCUGGCAGUUCCGCUGAUCUUCGCAGCCUUUCUUUUAUUUCGUUUGGUUGUGCUGUCCUUCUUCCUCCUGCAGCAUCGCUUCUUUUCCGUCUGCCGCAUCCUCUCUUUCUCUUGCUCUGGCUAUCGUUGCCUUCCCGACUUCCUUUCUUGUGGCGCUUUAUCUCCCUUAUAUAG
RNAcentral lists this unclassified non-coding RNA (2488 nucleotides) under Leishmania donovani. RNAcentral describes it as "gene:unknown". The record is from RNAcentral. Lineage: Eukaryota; Euglenozoa; Kinetoplastea; Trypanosomatida; Trypanosomatidae.